This 228-nucleotide long non-coding RNA is filed under the name Solanum tuberosum (potato). RNAcentral's name for it is "long non-coding RNA (STUB_LNC000716)". Lineage: Eukaryota; Viridiplantae; Streptophyta; Magnoliopsida; Solanales; Solanaceae. The record is from RNAcentral.
UCGGCUGGGGCACAUCGAUUGUUGCCAGCGCACAUCGGGCAGGCGACGUCGGCCCAACGACAGGCAUCAUCAGCCAAGACCUGCACACAUCUGACGUGGCAUGUGCAUAUCGGGCAAGCGACGUCAGCUAACGACAUGCGUUAUCGGUCAGGCGACAUUGGUCGUGGACUGCCCGCAUCGGCCAUGACCUGUGCAGAUCGCUCAGACGACGUUGGUCGUGGACUGCCC